Molecule: ribosomal RNA, 357 nt
Filed under: uncultured bacterium
Lineage: Bacteria
Description: bacterial SSU rRNA
Rfam family: Bacterial small subunit ribosomal RNA
Source: RNAcentral
UGAACGCUGGCGGUAUGCCUAACACAUGCAAGUCGUACGAGGGUUUUUAACUCUAGUGGCGGACGGGUGAGUAACACGUGAGAAUUUGCCUUUAGGAGGGGGAUAACAAUCGGAAACGAAUGCUAAUACCCCAUAUGCUUUCGAGUGAAACGGAUUUAUCCGCCUAAAGAGAAGCUCGCGGCUGAUUAGCCUGUUGGUAAGGUAAGAGCUUACCAAGGCGACGAUCAGUAUCUGGUUUGAGAGGACGAUCAGACACACUGGAACUGAGACACGGUCCAGACUCCUACGGGAGGCAGCAGUGGGGAAUUUUGGACAAUGGGCGCAAGCCUGAUCCAGCCAUGCCGCGUGAGUGAAGAA